Molecule: ribosomal RNA, 491 nt
Filed under: uncultured bacterium
Lineage: Bacteria
Description: bacterial SSU rRNA
Rfam family: Bacterial small subunit ribosomal RNA
Source: RNAcentral
AUGAACGCUAGCGAUAGGCCUAACACAUGCAAGUCGAGGGGCAUCACAUGAAGCAGCAAUGCAGAUGGUGGCGACCGGCGCACGGGUGAGUAACACGUAUGCAACCUGCCUUCAACAAGGGAAUAACCCGUUGAAAGACGGACUAAUACCCUAUAACACAGGGGCUCCGCAUGGAGAUAUUUGUUAAAGAUUUUAUCGGUUGAAGAUGGGCAUGCGUUCCAUUAGCUAGUUGGUGAGGUAACGGCUCACCAAGGCAACGAUGGAUAGGGGAACUGAGAGGUUUAUCCCCCACACUGGUACUGAGACACGGACCAGACUCCUACGGGAGGCAGCAGUGAGGAAUAUUGGUCAAUGGACGCAAGUCUGAACCAGCCACGUCGCGUGAAGGAGGACGGCCCUAAGGGUUGUAAACUUCUUUUGCAGGGGAAUAAAGUAUUCCACGAGAUGGGAUAUUGCAAGUACGCUGCGAAUAAGGAUCGGCUAACUCCGUG